This 877-nucleotide ribosomal RNA is filed under the name Pseudomonas sp. ZD20. Its description in RNAcentral is "bacterial SSU rRNA". It matches the Rfam family "Bacterial small subunit ribosomal RNA", at positions 59 to 931 of the family's 1533-position model. Lineage: Bacteria; Pseudomonadati; Pseudomonadota; Gammaproteobacteria; Pseudomonadales; Pseudomonadaceae. The record is from RNAcentral.
AAGUCGAGCGGUAGAGAGAAGCUUGCUUCUCUUGAGAGCGGCGGACGGGUGAGUAAUGCCUAGGAAUCUGCCUGGUAGUGGGGGAUAACGUUCGGAAACGGACGCUAAUACCGCAUACGUCCUACGGGAGAAAGCAGGGGACCUUCGGGCCUUGCGCUAUCAGAUGAGCCUAGGUCGGAUUAGCUAGUUGGUGGGGUAAUGGCUCACCAAGGCGACGAUCCGUAACUGGUCUGAGAGGAUGAUCAGUCACACUGGAACUGAGACACGGUCCAGACUCCUACGGGAGGCAGCAGUGGGGAAUAUUGGACAAUGGGCGAAAGCCUGAUCCAGCCAUGCCGCGUGUGUGAAGAAGGUCUUCGGAUUGUAAAGCACUUUAAGUUGGGAGGAAGGGUUGUAGAUUAAUACUCUGCAAUUUUGACGUUACCGACAGAAUAAGCACCGGCUAACUCUGUGCCAGCAGCCGCGGUAAUACAGAGGGUGCAAGCGUUAAUCGGAAUUACUGGGCGUAAAGCGCGCGUAGGUGGUUUGUUAAGUUGGAUGUGAAAUCCCCGGGCUCAACCUGGGAACUGCAUUCAAAACUGACUGACUAGAGUAUGGUAAAGGGUGGUGGAAUUUCCUGUGUAGCGGUGAAAUGCGUAGAUAUAGGAAGGAACACCAGUGGCGAAGGCGACCACCUGGACUAAUACUGACACUGAGGUGCGAAAGCGUGGGGAGCAAACAGGAUUAGAUACCCUGGUAGUCCACGCCGUAAACGAUGUCAACUAGCCGUUGGAAGCCUUGAGCUUUUAGUGGCGCAGCUAACGCAUUAAGUUGACCGCCUGGGGAGUACGGCCGCAAGGUUAAAACUCAAAUGAAUUGACGGGGGCCCGCACAAGCG